Molecule: transfer RNA, 73 nt
Filed under: Ignavibacteria bacterium
Lineage: Bacteria; Pseudomonadati; Ignavibacteriota; Ignavibacteria
Description: tRNA-Thr
Rfam family: tRNA
About the family: Transfer RNA (tRNA) molecules are approximately 80 nucleotides in length. Their secondary structure includes four short double-helical elements and three loops (D, anti-codon, and T loops).
Source: RNAcentral
GCUUGCGUAGCUCAGGUGGUAGAGCACUUCCUUGGUAAGGAAGAGGUCAUCGGUUCAAGCCCGAUCGCAAGCU